Molecule: long non-coding RNA, 215 nt
Filed under: Mytilus galloprovincialis (Mediterranean mussel)
Lineage: Eukaryota; Metazoa; Mollusca; Bivalvia; Mytilida; Mytilidae
Source: RNAcentral
CUAAUUACCAAAAAAUCUCUGUGUAGUGAUAUUUGACACUUUUCUUUGAUAAACAAGUGACUGAGCUUAACCAGAAUAAAUGUGUAAAAUCUAAGGAGCUAUUGAAUGUGUUCAAAGUAUUAAAUUUUCAAAGAACUUAUUGUGUUAAAAAUGGGAGUUGUUACCACGAGGAGCCGCAUCACAAAAGGAUACUCGGGGUUUGCUAAUUUACGGAA